CUGACUGUUGUGAUUGCUGCUUGCUUAUCGCUCAUUCAAGCCAGUUUUGUUGCUGUUGUUGAGAUAAUCUUUACUCCAGCAUUUCAACAUGUGGUGCAGAGACAGAAAUACUCUCCAGAGUCAAUCUAUGCUAUGCCUAGGCAAACAGAUUUUUGGCAGACCUCCCUUUUUGCCUGAGACUGGACAAAAGAAGCCAGCUUCAGGUGAAAAUCCUCCAGGACGUCACGGGCCAAGACCUCCUACCUAUUUAAUGGAUGUGGCAGAGAAAAAUGUCACAGAAUCUUCAUGCAAGUCUGAUCUGAAAGCUAAUGCUCACCUUUCCUUACCCCCACUGCCUAGACUUGCAAGUCAGUUAGUGAGGGUGGACAAACAAACAUCUCUGCAUGAAUGCCCUGUUGCUCUGUCCACGAACAUGCCUGUUCUAGAACAAACCCAUUUCCCUGUGAAACCUCUAGUUGGACAGAACAAGUCAGCUGGACAUUUCUUCUUGCCAGAAGCUGAAGAGAAGACAUCAGUUUCAGGUGAAAGACCUCUGGGGCGUCGAGGGUCCAGACCUACUAACCAUUCAAUGAGCAUGACAAAGAGAAGCAUCAAUGACGCUUUUUGUGAGUCUGAUCGGAAAACUACCGCUCACCUCUCCUUACCCCCACUUACCAGUUUUGCAAGUCGACCAGCGAGGGUGGACAAACGUAUGACUCUGCAUGAACACCACAUGGCUGUGUCCACAAAAAUGACUGUUCUGGAACCAACCCGUGUUCCUGUGAAGCCUCUAGUUGGACAGAACAAGUCAGCUGGACAUUUCUUCUUGCCAGAAGCUGAAGAGAAGACAUCAGUUUCAGGUGAAAGACCUCUGGGGCGUCGAGGAUCCAGACCUACUAACCGUUCAAUGAGCAUGACAAAGAGAAACGUCAUUGAACAUUUAUGUGAGUCUGAUCGGAAAACUACCGCUCACCUCUCCCUACCUUGGCUGCCCAGUUUUGCAAGUCGACCAGCGAGGGUGGACAAACGGUACGUUUGACGAUGAGGAUGUCAAGAUGAAGAGGGCUCUGCCACCAAAAGGAUUUCUCCUCUUUGGUCAGAAGUUUUGAAAAGAAGCUAGACACACUGCUUGAACCCGUUUUACACCUCAGACCCUGCCUUUGAAUUUAUAGAGCAUCCACAUACAAAGAAGACAUGAUGAUGAAAAAAAUUAUAUAUAUAUAAAUAAAAAAUUGUUCCUCAAAAAAAUCUCUUUGUGCAUCAAGUAAAUGUUCCUUAUUCAUGCAUCAAAUUAUUCUUUGUGCAUCAAAGAAGCAGUCCUUUGUGCAUCAAAAAUUGCAUAUUGCCAC
Molecule: long non-coding RNA, 1328 nt
Organism: Cyprinus carpio carpio
Lineage: Eukaryota; Metazoa; Chordata; Actinopteri; Cypriniformes; Cyprinidae
Source: Ensembl